This 455-nucleotide ribosomal RNA is filed under the name uncultured bacterium. Its description in RNAcentral is "partial 16S ribosomal RNA". It matches the Rfam family "Bacterial small subunit ribosomal RNA", at positions 339 to 795 of the family's 1533-position model. The record is from RNAcentral.
CUACGGGUCGCAGCAGUCGAGAAUAUUUGACAAUGGGCGGAAGCCUGAUCAAGCGACGCCGCGUGCAGGAAGACGCUUUUCGGAGUGUAAACUGCUUUUCAUGGGGAUGAAGAUCGCCUUUUGGUGGUUUGACAGUACCCAUGGAAUAAGGAACGGCUAACUUCGUGCCAGCAGCAGCGGUAAUACGAAGGUUCCGAGCGUUAUCCGGAUUUAUUGGGCGUAAAGGGUGUGUAGGGGGCUAUGUGCGUCUGUUGUUAAAACUCACUGCUCAACGGUGAGAUCGCGAUGGAUACGGCAUAGCUAGAGGAUGCGAGAGGCUUGCGGAACGCACGGUGUAGGGGUGAAAUCCGUUGAUAUCGUGCGGAACACCAAAGGCGAAGGCAGCAAGCUGGCGCAUUUCUGACCCUGAGACACGAAAGCGUGGGGAGCAAAAAGGAUUAGAUACCCCUGUAGUC